AAAUUGAAGAGUUUGAUCAUGGCUCAGAUUGAACGCUGGCGGCAGGCCUAACACAUGCAAGUCGAGCGGUAGCACAGAGAGCUUGCUCUCGGGUGACGAGCGGCGGACGGGUGAGUAAUGUCUGGGAAACUGCCUGAUGGAGGGGGAUAACUACUGGAAACGGUAGCUAAUACCGCAUAAUGUCGCAAGACCAAAGUGGGGGACCUUCGGGCCUCAUGCCAUCAGAUGUGCCCAGAUGGGAUUAGCUAGUAGGUGGGGUAACGGCUCACCUAGGCGACGAUCCCUAGCUGGUCUGAGAGGAUGACCAGCCACACUGGAACUGAGACACGGUCCAGACUCCUACGGGAGGCAGCAGUGGGGAAUAUUGCACAAUGGGCGCAAGCCUGAUGCAGC
RNAcentral lists this ribosomal RNA (393 nucleotides) under Mycobacterium tuberculosis. RNAcentral describes it as "bacterial SSU rRNA". It matches the Rfam family "Bacterial small subunit ribosomal RNA", at positions 1 to 392 of the family's 1533-position model. Lineage: Bacteria; Bacillati; Actinomycetota; Actinomycetes; Mycobacteriales; Mycobacteriaceae. RNAcentral also lists the same sequence under 1 other name. The record is from RNAcentral.